Molecule: transfer RNA, 71 nt
Filed under: Upeneus tragula (freckled goatish)
Lineage: Eukaryota; Metazoa; Chordata; Actinopteri; Syngnathiformes; Mullidae
Also listed under: 1 other name
Description: tRNA-Trp
Rfam family: tRNA
About the family: Transfer RNA (tRNA) molecules are approximately 80 nucleotides in length.
Source: RNAcentral
AGGCGCUUAGGUUAAUGCCAGACCAAGAGCCUUCAAAGCUCUAAGCGAGGGUUAAAAUCCCCCAGCACCUG